GCCACCGUGGCGGAAUUGGCAGACGCGCCGGACUCAAAAUCCGGUUCCUCACGGAGUGUCGGUUCGACCCCGACCGGUGGUAUCA
Molecule: transfer RNA, 85 nt
Filed under: Macrococcoides caseolyticum
Lineage: Bacteria; Bacillati; Bacillota; Bacilli; Caryophanales; Staphylococcaceae
Also listed under: 2 other names
Description: tRNA-Leu
Rfam family: tRNA
About the family: Transfer RNA (tRNA) molecules are approximately 80 nucleotides in length. Their secondary structure includes four short double-helical elements and three loops (D, anti-codon, and T loops). Further hydrogen bonds mediate the characteristic L-shaped molecular structure. tRNAs have two regions of fundamental functional importance: the anti-codon, which is responsible for specific mRNA codon recognition, and the 3' end, to which the tRNAs corresponding amino acid is attached (by aminoacyl-tRNA synthetases). tRNAs cope with the degeneracy of the genetic code in two manners: having more than one tRNA (with a specific anti-codon) for a particular amino acid; and 'wobble' base-pairing, i.e. permitting non-standard base-pairing at the 3rd anti-codon position.
Source: RNAcentral